UACGUAGGUGACCAGCGUUGUCCGGAUUUACUGGGCGUAAAGAGCUCGUAGGCGGUUGGGUAAGUCGGGUGUGAAAACUCAGGGCUCAACUCUGAGACGCCACUCGAUACUGCCCUGACUCGAGUCCGGUAGGGGAGCGUGGAAUUCCCGGUGUAGCGGUGAAAUGCGCAGAUAUCGGGAGGAACACCAGUGGCGAAGGCGGCGCUCUGGGCCGGAACUGACGCUGAGGAGCGAAAGCGUGGGUAGCAAACAGG
RNAcentral lists this ribosomal RNA (254 nucleotides) under uncultured bacterium. Its description in RNAcentral is "partial 16S ribosomal RNA". It matches the Rfam family "Bacterial small subunit ribosomal RNA", at positions 524 to 776 of the family's 1533-position model. The record is from RNAcentral.